AUGGGUAGGAAACGCAAAAUACCAAAAAAAUUAGUUGUACCUACUGAACCAGUGGUUGAAGAACCACUCAAAGUCUAUCACACUGCUGAAGCUUAUUACUUGGAUCAUCUUCGAUCCAUAUGUGCUCAUGCUAAAACCCCUACUAGCUUAGUUGAGGGCAAAUCUUUAGAUGAGCAUGCUUGUUAUGUGCGACACCGAAUAUGUGAAAAAGGGGAAAUUUUACUGGGUCAAAUUCAUCGUUUGCAAUGCUAUGCUUGGAAUGUAUGUGAAAUAUAUGAUUUUACUUUUGGUUCUGAAAACCCUAAGAAACACCUUCCCUAUCAAUGUGAGUUUAGUGAUAAUGGAAUCGUAUCUUCGUAUGCUAAGGGUGUUUAUAGUUACUAUGAUGUUCAACAAAUUGAAUAA
RNAcentral lists this ribosomal RNA (405 nucleotides) under Triticum aestivum (bread wheat). Its description in RNAcentral is "partial small subunit ribosomal RNA". The record is from RNAcentral. Lineage: Eukaryota; Viridiplantae; Streptophyta; Magnoliopsida; Poales; Poaceae.